RNAcentral lists this long non-coding RNA (8660 nucleotides) under Homo sapiens (human). Its description in RNAcentral is "HSALNT0292642". Lineage: Eukaryota; Metazoa; Chordata; Mammalia; Primates; Hominidae. The record is from RNAcentral.
CUGCCUGCCUCAGCCUCCCAAAGUGCUGGGAUUACAGGUGUGAGCCACCGCGCCUGGCUGGAAUAAACAAUUUUUUGACAUAGUCACACAAUGGAACACUACCCAGCAAUUAUUAAUAAAAGGAUGAAAUACUUUUAAGUGCAUUAUAUGAAUGAAUCUCAAAAAUAUUAUUCUAAGUGAAAAAAGCCAGACACAAAAGAGUAUAUGUCGAAUAUUUCAUUUACACAAAAUUCCAGAAAAGUCAAAUUAAUCUAUAGUGGUAGAAAUAAGAUCAGUAGUUGCCAAAGACAAAGGGAGGGUGGAAUUGACUAUUAAAAGGAAUGAGGGCACAUUUUUGAGGGAUACAUUAUAUUUCUUCAUUACUACAAUGGCUAUCUGAGGUAUACAUAUGUCAAACCUCAUCAAACUGUACACUUAUGGAUGCAUAUUAUUAUAUAUAAAUUACAUAUCAGUAAAAUUGAUUAGUAAAGAUACAGUUAAGAUAGACAUUUAGGGAUAUUUCAGAACUGAAUAUGUUUGAGUGAAGUAGCAGAAAUUGAUACUUCUGGAUAUCUGAGCUCAACAAAUAUAACACCUGUGCAAUAUAUUUGAAUUUGUUUAGCAGCUUAGUAAAAAAUCAAAGCACAUUAGAUUGCUAUCUAAUAAAGCAAAUACAUUCAGAAACUAAAUUAUGCUAAAAUUUAUUAUUUGAGUCCUUAGACAAAGAAGAUUUAAUAACAUAAACACCAAAACUAUCAACAUCAGUUUUGCAACCAAUAUAAAAUAUGGACCAGUUUUUAGAUGAUGCUGAAUUAUAGGAUAUGAGAUUUUGGAAUUUAUUUGCUGGCAUGAGGUUCUAUGAAGUAAUUUUUGGGGAGCAGGAAAUAUUAUAUAAUAUUACAAGGUGAAAAUACGUUGCAUGAUUUGCAAUAGAAGUGGUACCCAUUGUUGAUAAGGAAAGUAACAAAUCUUGUGUAAGGUGGAUGAAGGAAGAAAGAACAGUGUAGAUUCCUAUGUAAUGUCACUCGUGAUAGGUAUUAAAUGCUGGAACCAGAACACAGGUGGUGGAAAUGAAGUAGCCUGGAUAUAUCCCGAACCUAAUGUCGAGAUAAAAUCUUUAAUGGCAAAAACAGCAAUUACUUUUGCACCAACCUAACGGAAUGAAAUUUCUUGUUGGCUGUUAAUACAGCAUGGAUGAGUCUCUCAAUUGGAAGGCAACAAGCUAAGUAAGCUAAGUUUCCAGGUUCCUUUUCUUGUAAGAUUCUCUAAUUCUGUGCAGGCAGCCAACAUGGGAAUAAGCAAUUACCUUUGGACCUUUCACACUGAGCAUAGAGAUUUUUGCCCAACCUUUGAAGUUUAGCUUAGCAAAGUUGUAACAAUCAUGUGAAAGAUGUUUGGUGGGUAUUUGAAUAGUUGCUGGGAUCUCAGACACAAGUGUGUCAUUAAGGAAUUCACAGCUUAAUAGGGACAACAGACUCUAAAAGAUUUGAAUAUGUUGUCACAUGUACUAAACCUGAGGGCUCUGAGAGUACAGGGGAAGCCUCCUAACUUGAACUGGUGGUGAAAACUAAUUCAAAGAAGGCUUCCAAGAGGUAAGUCUUCCUGGUGAAGAAAAUGAGAAGGGUGCCUCAUGGGAGUCAUCUUCACAUUGGGAGGGAUUAGUUAGAACCCUGGAAGACGCACAUAGAAAUAGUUAAUUAACAUGAUCAUUUUUUAGUCUCUAUCCUUCUCAACUUGACUUCAUAAGAGCACUGGUGUUUUGAGAGGUGUUCAUAGGUAUUGCGUUCUAAAAAGAAAGCAAAAUAAAACCACACUCGAACACAGGGGUUAAACACAAGAUUGAACAAAAUAAAAACCUUUUUAUUACAGACUUUCUCAGAGCAUUUGAUUUACUAAUGGGAAAUAUUAGAUGAAUAUAAUUAAUAUAUGCAUCAUAUGAAUAUAAUUACAUGUAUUAGAUGAAUAUAAAUACAGCGUAUAGCAGUUUCCAGACUUAUGUGACCACAGAACACUUUUUUUUUUUUUUUUUUUUGGUAGAAUCCCUGUGAAUACCUCAACUGUGUGUUCUGGGAAGUUUAGAAAACAUUAUAUCCUAUUCAUUUCUUAACUUUCUCUGUUGGCAUCUGUCAAGGAUAUUGAAAAGAUAUGUUCAUGUUCAACUUUUCCUGGUUCUCAUUUGGACUCUUUCUCAGAUGACCAAAAUCUCAUGCUAAAUUGAUUUCAGACUCCGAUAGGAGAAAAUCUAUCAUUUCCCCCAGUAUUGCAGCAAUCACACCACAGCCUGGAGCUGAUUAGUCUGCUCAGUGCCACAGCCUCAGCCAGGCCAGGCCAGGGGCUGGGAGCUUUCCAAGCUGACCAUCACUCCCAGAUCAAAUUCAUCUCCUCCGAGCUCAGCCUGCUCCCAUGCUCAAAAUCUCAAGAAUCUACCCAUGUAGCGUUCCUUCCCUUUCUCUUUGGAACCAUGGAGCUCCACUGGAAAGGAACCUGGGUACCUGACACCUUGGAAGGGUCCUGACAUUUGUUCCUUUCCAACUGAAAGUCUUCCUUGAGGGGUGGAGCAAACUGAAGGCCCCCGCUAGCCCCACGUAUUGCCCAAAGACUCUCUGAGGCUCUGUGCUGCUUACUUCCUACCAGGCAGAGAUUACUAGCCUCCUCAGCAGAUGAAAAAACGAAAGCUCAGAGCGGUAAGAUCAUUUGUCCAAGGUCUCAGAGUGGCGGAACUGGCAGUGGACACGACUAAGAUGACCCCAAGAGCCUGCACUGUCAGUCGUCACCCCGUAUUGUCUCUUGGUGCCAAACCUGCAUGACAUCCCAGUGCUAGUUUUGAGAGAGAACCCUCUUCCCUCUUCCCAUUUGCAUGCCUCACACUGUAGUUUAGAAUGCCUUCUUUCUUUUGCUUUGAUUCCCCCCCCAACCCUUUCUGGAAAGGAUAAUCUCCAAGAAAUUCCCUUAGGAUAUCUCACGUCAUUCCUAGUCUAAAUUCUUCGAAGUGAAGAAGCGUUUUGAGAUUCGGUGAUUAUUUUCAGCAUCACAUUAGGAUGUGCCCUCCAAAUUUAGUGUGUGAGACUAAUGUCCCCAAGUGUGCAUUCUGAACAUUGUUAUAGCAUGCCCCUGUGUACACCCUGUGAACAUUCCCGACAGUAUCCUCUUGCAAUCCCCACAUACUAGCUUUCAGAUAUUCCAAAAUGUAACCAAAAUGAAUUGCUUAAUUGGAUGGAUAUUAGUAUUUUUCACUUGAUAAAAACCAUGUCUGCAAAGCACCUUAGUGUGUUGUUGUAACUUAGUUUAUUAUUAUUGCUGAUAAGGAUAAUAAACAUUUCUGAUGGUAAAAAUGAACACAUUCUUCAUGUACUUCUAGGUCAGAAACCUCUGCUAUUAAUCAGAUCCUUCUGAGUAGUUUCAUAUCUAGUUUUGAUCCCUAUGCCAUAUCCUUAGAGAAAAAACAUGUACUUUUAAUUUGGUCAUGAAAGUUACUGUUUGAAUAGAUUUUUUAAGACUUUAGGCAUUCUGGUUAUUUAAAUUGACUCAGACAGUAUAAACUAGACUCCCUGACAUUCCUGGGCCUUCAAGACUCAAUGGCUUCUGGUAAGCAGCCACUCAGGCCUCCAGUUGGCCUUAACUAAGUCAGCCCCAACACACCAGUUCCUUAGAAUUACAUGCAAGGUCAUAGGAUUUCAAUUAAAAAAAUACUUUAACACGAGGCCAGAAUACCUAUGGCUGUAACCUGCUCUUGAAUAAACUUUCUCCCUGUCAUUUUUUUGUGUGUGUGAAAUACUUUACUCUUUUUAUAGAUCUUGGUCUUUUGCAAUCAUACAGGAUUCUAUUUGUUGAGUACCUUCUUUGCAUUGGAAAUUUGAAUUUCUUUUUACCCUUACAGUAUACCUAUAAGGCAAAUAUCAUCAACUUCAUUUUACAGAUGAACAAUAAGUUACUAGUGAACUGGUGAUGAAAAUUAAAGAAGGCUUUUGAACAUGAAUAUACCUUUUCAAUAUCCUUGACAGAUGCCAACAGAAAAAGUUAAGAAAUGAAUAGGAUACAAUGUUUUCUAAACUGUUCCCAUAACACAUAGUUGGGUAUUUGCAGGGACUUAUUAUUCAGUUAGAACAAUAAGUGACUUAUUGAUUAACUGCUUCUAAAUGAUAUAAAUAGGGUUUAAACUAGUAUUUAUCAUGUAUACACAAUAAAGAUUUAUUGUUAACAUAAAUUGAGCAUUUAUCAUAUUCUAAUCACUGUUCCAUUAGAUUGAACCACAUAAAAUUGCUGCUCUUUCACCUAUCAAAUGGCAAUUUCAUGUGGUUUAACCUAAUAGUUGUCUCAUUUGAUUUCAACAAUAGCCUUAGAUGCAACUGUUUUUAAUGUCAUUUGUAGAAGAGGAAAUGGAAGCUCAGCAAGAUUAAAUAAUGUGCACAGAAUUAAGCAGUCAAUAAGGGGGACUUCUCCCCCAACCUCAAACCAAGCAAUUCUUCUUCACCAUGAAGUGGUGACUCUGAUGAAGUGAUGUGACACUUUUAUUGUCUCCAGUGAUGGUAAUUUUGAGUUUAUUAGUUCAGUCACUUCAUUCAGUAUACUGAGCACAUACUGUAGAUGUGAAUCAUAUGUAUUCAGCCUUUGAAAGAACAGAAAGGUGGAAAAUCAAGCUAGUUAGCCAGAGUUGGGUUUUACAAAAACAGUGAAACAAAACCAUCUGAAACUGAUUUUUUUUUCAUUAUCUAUGCAGGUAGGUCUUGAAGAUUGUUUCUUAAGUUCUCAGAGGUUGGUUAUUACUGGAAAAAAUUAAGUGUUGAUUUCUAAAGUAACUGGACCCUUUGGAUAGUGUAGGUUCUUGUGUGUUUGUUCAGUCGUUACUUUCAUUGUACCCUCUGCCUGGGAUGCUUUGUUCCUAAUCACAAGAUCUUUUAAGUCUUACCUCUGCGGUCACUCUUUCUGUAGGGAUCCUUCAUUAUUUUCCCUCUGUAAAUGAACUGUCCCUCAUUUUGGCUCUCAUUGCAGUUGUUUUCACUUUUCGUAUGUCACCAGUCUCCUUUCCUAAAUUAUGUUUUAUUAUCCAUUCAUCUAUUCACCCAUCCAUCCAUCCAUUCACCCAUCCAUCCAUCCAUCAUACUACACAUCUAUAAAUUUCUAGUCAGUGUUAGGGGCCCUGAAGUUGUAGGGGUGAAAUGAUACAGUUUCCACCCUCAGAGGCUUAAUGGGGAGACAGAGAAACAAACAGAACAUUUCAGUCAACUAUAGGUCUCCUUAUUCCAGCUCUAACUCAUCUGAAAAUGCACUCCUAUCAGUGACAGUUGCUCAUGAUGGCUGUGAUUCUGGUGGAUGAUAAAGAUUGGUGGGGAGAUAAAAGAGAGAAAGGAAGAAAUAUGCUCCCUGUGCUCCAGAAUGGGGUUGGGAAACACAUGAUGCAUGUCUCUCCAGCCCACUCCAGCCUCCUGAGCUGAGGAUCAGCAAGACAGAUUAUGCAGUGCGUCUUUGCAACAGAGAGGAGGUCUGCUCAUCCCACAUUUGGAGCACCCGUGGGUGGAGCAGGGAAGAUUUCUGGGAAACAGUGUUUGAAUUGAAUCAUGAAAAUGAGUAGGAGUCUGCUACAUGGGUAAGGGAGGGAAGAAAAGUCAGUAGAGAAGGUAGGCAGUGCUUGCAAAGGCCUGAGCACUGCAAGAAUGGACUAAUACGCUAUGUGAAGACAAAGGGGAUGUCUGCAAGCCAGGACGAGUGCGUCUACCAGAAACUGAGUUCUGCUGGACUUUGAUCUAGGACAUCCAGCCUCCAGAAUGGAAUGUGCCAUAUGUGGAGACCUGCAUGGAAAGGAACUGAGGAUGCUCUCUCACUAAAAGCUAGAAGGAACUGAGGCCCUCAGUCAACAGUCUACAAGACACUGAAUCUUGCCAGCAGCCAAGCAGUGAGCUUGAAAGCAGAUCUAUCAUCAGCUGAACCUUCAGAUGAGACCGCAGCCUAAGCAGAUACCUUGGUUGCAGCCAUGUGAGACAACCUGAAACAGAGGGCACAGCUAAGCCUCAGCCAGGUUCAUGACCCUCUGAGGAAACUGUGAGAAAGCAAAUGUCAUUUUAAGCUAUUUAAUUUUGGAGGUAGUUUAUUACACAACAAUAAAUAACUAUUAUAAUUAUCUUGAGGAUUUAUUUCCUGGGGAGAAUACAUGGAAUUGCAUAUAUAGGUCCUCAUAUGCAGAAUACUGGUACCCUAGAGAUGUUCACCCCAGAGAUGUUUUAGGAACCUGUGAAUAUGUUACAUUAAAUGGCAAAGUUUUCCUGGAUGGUUUAAGUUUAAGAUGGAAAAGUUUUACUGGAUUAUCCAGUGGGUCCAAUCUAGUAACAUGAGUCCUUAAAAAUGGAGAAUAUUUUUUGGCCAUGAUCAGAGAGACAUGUGAUGAUGGAAAAAGUGUCAGAGAUGCAAUGUGAGGGGACUAAAACUGCUGUUGCUGACUUUAAAGAUGGAGAGAGGGGAACCCGAGUCAAGGAAUGCAAAUGGCCUCUGGAAGCUGGAAAAAGCAAGAAAUGGAUUCUCCUUUAGAGCCUGUGGAAUAAAAUGCAGUCAUGCUGACACCUUGAUUUUACCUCAGUGAGACCAAUACUGGAGUAUGACCUUCGGAGCUGAAUAAAAUUAUACGUACACAUCUUAAUUUCUUGGGAUUUGAUUACUUCUUCUGCUUUGAAAUUAGACCAAGUUUAGCCUGCCUUUGCUAUUUUGGCGUAUCUCCAAUUCUUCAUGAUUUUCUCAUCGCAAAGGCCACAUAAGGACAGUGAGAAGGCAGCCACCUGCAAGCCAGGAAGAAAGGUCUCACCAGAUACCAACCCUGCCAGCAUGUUGAUCUUGGACUUCCAGCCUCCAAAACUGGCCUUCUGCUCACAUGGGCUUCCGUGCACCUGCUUCAGGAGACAGCAACACUUGCGCCCGCACCGCGGCAGGCUCCCAUCACCUGGUGGAUAUGCCGCGCCGAGUCUCAUCACACCUUAGUGAAGGAACACAUGGACCCAUAUGUUAGCGGAUGUAUUUACAUCGUUUUAUACAGAAAGGGGAAAUGGAGUCUUGCUCUGUCACACAUGCUAGAGUCCAGUGGUAUGACCUCAGCUCACUGCAAUCUCUGCCUCCCGGGUUCAAAUGAUUCUUCUGCCUUGACCUCCCUGGCAGCUGGGACUACAGGCCUGCACCACCACGCCUGGCAAAUUUUUUAAUUUUUUUUAGUAGAGAUGGGGUUUCACCAUGUUGGCCAGGCUAGUCUCGAACUCCUGACCUCAAAUGAUCUGCCCGCUUUGGCCUUCCAAAGUUCUGGGAUUAUAGGAGUGAGCCACCAUGCCCAGCCUGUUCUUAAGUCUCCUAGAACAGGGAUUCUGAAACACAAAACUCAUCUGGCAAAGAGUUCUAAGAUGCAUUUCACAGCACUCCACAGAAGGAAGGUUCAGAGCCAAUCAUCUGCACCAGUGCCCAACUUAAAAACAUCCUUGUAUCAGUUUUCCCUUAUUUCCUGUUCUCCUCCCUAAACCUUCAGUCCUGUUCCUGGCAAUCACUUCCAGAAUAAACCAUAUACAUGCCUCAGAUUCUGAUCUCAGAGGAUCCCAGACUAAUACAGAGAUACACUAUGCUGAUUGCUUAACCCGCAUUUUCUCAUUUAAUUGAAACAUAUACGUGGUAAGGUAUUUAUUCAUACCUGCAUGAUUUUGUAGAUAAACCUUAGAGAAAUUAAUACUUUUCAGAAGGCAAUUAAAGUAACACAGCAAGCAAUUGAUAAAACCUGGAUUCGCCAAGUUAAACUGGUCUGGUUUCAAAACCUGUAUUGUUUCCUAACAUACCACCUAAAUUCUCAAAUGGUAUUGGAAGGGGUUAAAUGAGAUUAUAAAUGUAAAAUUCUUGGUAUAGUUAAUUCUCAAAAAUAGGCCUUCAAUCUAUAGAAUCCAUUUGUAGAACUAUCUUCAGGAAGGAAAAAUACAUCACCCUCCACCCCACCCUCAAAGAAACAUGGAAAAUUUAAACUAAGACUUCAAAUCUUGAGCUCUGCACAUCUUAGAAUAUUUUGUUUCUAUGAAAAAGAAGCUUUGGAGAAUGUGUAUCAGUCUGAAACACUGUAGUGUGAGCACAGAAAUCAGCCCAUCACAUUAUGCCCCAAAUGCUGAAGUACGGCUGAAUCUGAUUGCCCUGCAUUUUUAAGUACUGCAAAAUUCUGGGACUUGGGAUCAUCUGUUACUACAGACUUGUCAUAUUCCACUGAAAUAAAACAUAUAGUCUAAUUUGCAAAGUUCUCGUGUGGAAAGAGUCCUAAAAUGUAUAUAACCUCUGUCCCAGCAAUUCCAUUAGGAAUUUAUCCAAUCCAAAAUCUAAAAUGCAGAAGAUCUACAUAUUGAAUGCUUAUGGCAGCAUUCUUUAAAAUUAUGAAAAUUGAAAGCAACCAAAAUCCUCAAAAACAGACUAAUGGCUAAGUAGUAUAACCAUACUAUGAAAUGUGGUAAUUGAAUAUUCAAAUUUGUGUUGUAUAAAAAAUUAAUAAUGGUAUAACAUUUGGCUAUAAAAUAGAAUGAAUUCAAUUGUAUUUUUUAAACCAGUACAUCUGCAUAUUUGUGAACCUAAAAGAUAAGACGGUAAAUAUUUAACUGUAUUUUUCUUUAAUUGUUGGGGCUGUGAAUUAUUUUAAUUUUCUUAAUGCUUUUUAAUCUUCUCUGAAAAUUUUAUAAUAAUCUCUA